AUACAAAUAAUUAACAUCGGCAUAUAAAACGGCCCGCAUCUGCAACGGGACUAAUCAUGUGCUCUCCAACCUUUCUCGCUAAAGCUUUCUUAAUUGCUAGGGUGCGGCAAAGAAAUAUUCAAGACGCGGAUAAACAUGCGCACAACGACACAUAGCAUAGAGACUGAAGCUGAUGUCCUCUCCCUCCUGUCUUCCCGAGACCCAGAGCGGCCAACCAUGGUUGUCCAGCCUUUCGGCCCCACAGUUAUAUGCAUGCCUGAUGAGUGCCUGAGGAGGAUUCAGCUGCCAUGGUGGAUUCAAUACAGGAGCAAUCUAGGAUGGCUACAUUGCGUCCGCUUCCUUAAGAUAUUUGGCAAUUGAUGGAGGAAUGUAUCUUCAUGGACCCAAGACAUGUCGUGAGCGGAAUAAAGCCGCAAAUUGGAUGACCACUUUUAUAGCAGAGUAUUCUAGAGAAAUUUUGUAGGUCGAUAUCAAGGUCAUUCCUAUAUUUUUCUGUAAUAUUUUUUUUUCUGACUCUUUUAAUUGUAUUCAUACUAAGUUUGUAAGAGUGCUCUGUCUUAUUAAAAAUAAAAAAAAA
This 577-nucleotide long non-coding RNA is filed under the name Elaeis guineensis (African oil palm). RNAcentral's name for it is "long non-coding RNA (EGUI_LNC006174)". Lineage: Eukaryota; Viridiplantae; Streptophyta; Magnoliopsida; Arecales; Arecaceae. The record is from RNAcentral.